UUCGUAUUUAACUGUCAGAGGUGAAAUUCUUAGAUUUGUUAAAGACGAACUUCUGCGAAAGCAUUUGCCAAGGAUGUUUUCAUUAAUCAAGAACGACAGUAGGGGGUUUGAAGACGAUUAGAUACCGUCGUAAUCUCUACCAUAAACUAUGCCGACUAGAGAUAGGGAAAACGCCUACCUUGCUUCUCCUGCACCUCAUGAGAAAUCAAAGUCUCUGGGUUCNGGGGGGAGUA
This 233-nucleotide ribosomal RNA is filed under the name Eimeria tenella. Its description in RNAcentral is "partial small subunit ribosomal RNA". It matches the Rfam family "Eukaryotic small subunit ribosomal RNA", at positions 891 to 1125 of the family's 1831-position model. The record is from RNAcentral. Lineage: Eukaryota; Apicomplexa; Conoidasida; Eucoccidiorida; Eimeriidae.